Molecule: ribosomal RNA, 383 nt
Filed under: uncultured bacterium
Lineage: Bacteria
Description: bacterial SSU rRNA
Rfam family: Bacterial small subunit ribosomal RNA
Source: RNAcentral
AUUGAACGCUGGCGGCAUGCUUUACACAUGCAAGUCGAACGGCAGCACGGGGGCAACCCUGGUGGCGAGUGGCGAACGGGUGAGUAAUGCAUCGGAACGUAUCCUUAAGUGGGGGAUAACGCAUCGAAAGAUGCGCUAAUACCGCAUAAUCUCUGAGGAGAAAAGCAGGGGAUCGCAAGACCUUGCGCUUUUGGAGCGGCCGAUGUCUGAUUAGCAGUUGGUGAGGUAAGGCUUACCAAGGCUUCGAUCAGUAGCUGGUCUGAGAGGACGACCAGCCACACUGGGACUGAGACACGGCCCAGACUCCUACGGGAGGCAGCAGUGGGGAAUUUUGGACAAUGGGGCAACCCUGAUCCAGCCAUGCCGCGUGAGUGAAGAAGGCC